Non-coding RNA from Cricetulus griseus (Chinese hamster), 3384 nucleotides. The record is from RefSeq and is a predicted model, not a curated record. Lineage: Eukaryota; Metazoa; Chordata; Mammalia; Rodentia; Cricetidae.
GUUGGCUGGGACGUGCUCUGCGCCGGGUCUAGGCACAUCCCCAAGGUUCUGGCAACAGAGGGCGGGGAGCGCCCGCGGGGAGCUGAGAGCCUGUGAGAAAGCCUUCAUCAGCGCUAGGCUGUUUGGGCAGAUAUUUUAGACCCGGGGCAACGUUUUCCCAGCUAUAAACCAACAGAGAGGCAUCCCUGGGAGAGCGAAUGUUUUCCCAGUGCAUCAUCUCAGCAGGGGUGGAGGGAGCAUAAGAGUCUGCAAAGAUGCCCAGUAUGGGCAUCCGGCGCGGCAGGAGGAAUUCUGCCCUGUCCUAAGCUGCUUCCCAACUUCGCCCACAUUCCAUUAUCUCCCAGGACUGGGCUGUCUCUGACUGGGAACCCGAAGGAGCACUUUACAUAUAAACACAAGGAAGGAAUCUGUGUGGGUGCCGGUAAAGUCAUUAUCAAUCUCUACAAAAAAGAAAAUGAAAUUUCUAUCAACAGGUUGUGCCGUAAUCAUAAGUACUUUGAACAUUUUCAACUGUAGAAAAUUUUAGUUAGAGGUUCAGGUUCGUUACCAGAGUGGGUUUUUCUUGCUGGCUUGAGAUCAAAUCCGGGCAUUGGGCAUUCUGCCUGGAGGUAAACACUCUACUACUAAACUACAUCCUCAGUUCUAAAGGACGCCUGCCCAGAAAGAUAUGCUUAACUGUGAGAGGAGAUGGGUUUUGACAAAAUGACUAGACUUUUUUUUAAGUUAACAACUAAUAGAUCAGUUUCAAAAUCUGCCAACCUCCUGUAUUUUAUUGUAAAGAAAAAUCAAACAGACGAUAGUUGCUUCUUGCUAAAGAAUUGAGUAACUAACACAAGGCAGCAGGUAUGAAAUUCACACGCCAUAAACUGAGAAGGAUGUUUUUUACCUAAGCAUCCAUACACAAACCCUUGCAUAGCACACUGGAAAGGGCAGAAGAUAAAUUUAAAAAAUGGCUACCAGGAGGCAGGAACAUGGGAUCGGGGGAAGAUGAAGAGGAAACACGUGUCUGAGGAUAGAGAAUGACACCCCAAAACACCUGAUCAUCUGGCUGGAAAGAAGACAUGGAAAGAGCAAUGACAUCAGCAGAUUGGGCCCUUGCUGAUGGGGACAAAAGGCAAUCCAGUUUUUGAAUUAACUAUUUUGACUAGCAUGUGAUGACCAUAUGCUAAUGAUGUGAUAUUUCAAUGCUUGCAUGUAUUAUACUGAUCAAAUAAGGGUGAUUAGUCAUACGUUGUAAAAAUAAAAGGAUCAAUUUUAACUAGGGACAGCAAGUGUGAUAAACAUCACUUAUGCUAGCUAUUAUUCACCAUGAGAUUAAAGAUCUUCCAAAAGGCAAAUUUCCUUGGUUUUAUGUCUGCUAAAUUACCUUUUCUAAAGUCUUUCAUCAACCUGUGUGCCAACGCGCAUGAUAGACCACCAGAAAAAGGAUGCUCUUUGAUUCCAAGUAUCCUGCAUUGGCCACUUGAGAUGAUCUCUUGGAGUGCGCUUUCUCUACUAACUACAUUUCCUUUCAUCGAUCGAUAUCUGCUGCAAGGCAAUUCUGGGUCUGUUCUAGGGGAAAUGUGGUAACUGGUUCCCACCUAGUAUUACUCAGUUUUCAAUUGCUGAUGAGUAAUUCUGACUGUGAAGAAGUCAACAGGAAUGGGGAGAGCUUGUCUUGCAUUCCAGGCAGGAAGGGAAACCUCAGGAGAGGUCCUCCAGUGAAUGCCUAAGUCAUCCUCAGCAGAGGGAAAGAGGGAAAGCCACCUCACGGGCAAACCCGUAAGCAACAACGAUGCUUGGCAUCAUAACGACCAGUGAAGCGUUGUCAAUGCCAAGAUGAAUUCCUAAUGAAUGGAAAAACCACAAACUGUUUAAGUAACCUGCCUCAACAAGAAGCAGGCACCAAAGACAAGCAGCUGUUAUGCUGGUUGUUAUAGCUGGCUGGGAGCAGCAACUCCCAAUCCCAUGAGAAGUCAAGGUGCAGGACUCACCGAUUUAGGUACAAGAUUUUGGUGGCAGAAACGUCACAGAAGGCAAGUCAUACCUUCCUCCAUUUUCUCGGUAGAGCAUUUAAAAGUGAGCUUGUGAAUUGCUGCAGAAUUUCGAGGCAUUUCUACUGAGGAAUCUCUUCAUUUGCUUUGCAGCCUGACAACUGUUGAAGGGAUGACCCUUAUCGCAUCACUCCAUCAUGGAUGAUGACCUCAUAGAAACUGUGUCAUGGACUACUACUUUCCCUUCAGCAAAUCCUACAGGCGUGCACCACCACAACCGGAAGGACUACUACUUUCAAUCAAUCUAUUUCCUACCUAUGGCCACACAAGCAAGAGAACUAGAACCAGCAUAAAUGCUGGAUAUGGGUGGCGGCUCACCUUAAUUCCAGCUUUAGAAGGUAGAUGUGCGGCCCCUGGAAUACCUGGCUAGCAAGGCUACCAUGUUGAUGAACUCCGGGUUUGUUUGAGAGACCUUGCCUAAAAUUAAGUUAGAAGAGUAUAUAGGAAGAUUCCCAAGAUCAACCUUAGGCCACCAUACCCGUGUACAUACAUGUCAUAUCUACUCUAUCUACUCCCCAUAUCCAUUCACACUCAUGCAAACACACAUAUGUAAAAAAAGGAAAAGAAAACGUAAAAUCAUACUGACUUACAUACAUGUGACAUAUAUAUGUUACACACAUAUAUAUUGCAUAUAGAAAUGUUGCUUCUUGGUAUAAUAAAUAUAGACACACACAUAUAUGUAUGCAUGCAAAAGAAUGUUUUCAGUGUUGCACAAAGACAUAUCUAAAAAGGUGAAAAUAACCUGAGAAGACAAUGUCUGUGUCAAAAAAAAAGGUGCACCAUAAUAAAACUGAGCUAACAAGCAGCAUCCAUGGCCAAGAUGGCCUCUCCCUUUUAUUCUUAAUUCAAGGGGGGCAGGGAUCUUGGUUGUUCCUCACUGUUGGCUGAGGUUCAACCUUACAGUCUGUUCCAGAUUGGCUAAUUUGAAAAGGGGGAAAGGGUUGGCCUCUAAGGGUCAUUAAGUUACUAGAAUGGAGCAGGGCCUUUGUGUGGAGAUGAAAAAAUUAAAUAGGGUACUAUAGAGAUGGCUUAUUGGAAGCCCUGGGUUUGGUUUCCAGCGCCCACAUGGUGGCUUUCAGUUGUCCAUUACUCCAGUUUGGGGAUCUGUCACACUCUUCUGGCCUUCCUGGGCACCAAGUUUGCAUGCAGUGCCCAUACAUAACUGUAAGCCAAAACUCUCAUGUACAUAAAAGGUAAAAAUAAGUAAAUGUUUAAAAAUGUCAUUUUAAAAGGUUUGCAUAAAAGUUUUACAUGGUAGAGGAGAUUAUAAGACUUGCAUAAAAGGUUUUGUAAGAUUUAUGGAAUAUUGAUCUUUGGAGGGCCAGUCACUUUUGAUAAAAAAACAAAAAUU